Molecule: unclassified non-coding RNA, 406 nt
Filed under: soil metagenome
Description: partial contains 5.8S ribosomal RNA, internal transcribed spacer 2, and large subunit ribosomal RNA
Rfam family: 5.8S ribosomal RNA (bases 1-121)
Source: RNAcentral
GAUGAAGAACGUAGCGAAAAGCGAUAAGUAAUGUGAAUUACAGAAUUCAGUGACUCAUCGAAUCUUUGAACGCACCUUGCGCCCUUUGGCCAUUCCGAAGGGCAUGCCUGUUUGAGUAUCAUGAGCACCUCAACUCUUCAUGGUUUUCCGUGAUGAGCUUGGACUUUGGGGGUCUUGCUGGCCUAUGGUCAGCUCCUCUAAAAUAAAUCAGCUUGCCAGUGUUUGGUGGGUAUCACAGGUGUGAUAACUAUCUACGCUUGUGGUUUUCCACCAGGUAACCUUCAGCAGUGGAGGUUCGCUGGAGCUCACAGAUGUGUCUCUCCUCAGUGAGGACAGCUCUUUGAAUGUUUGAUCUCAAAUCAGGUAGGACUACCCGCUGAACUUAAGCAUAUCAAUAAGCGGAGGA